GGGCCCGCACAAGCAGUGGAGCAUGUGGUUUAAUUCGAUGAUACGCGAGGAACCUUACCAGGGCUUAAAUGUAGUGGGACAGGUCUAGAGAUAGACCCUUCUUCGGACUCAUUACAAGGUGCUGCAUGGUUGUCGUCAGCUCGUGCCGUGAGGUGUCAGGUUAAGUCCUAUAACGAGCGCAACCCCUAUCGUUAGUUGCCAGCGGGUAAUGCCGGGAACUCUAGCGAAACUGCCGGUGCAAACCGAGAGGAAGGUGGGGAUGACGUCAAAUCAUCACGGCCCUUACGUCCUGGGCUACACACGUGCUACAAUGGCCGGUACAGAGAGCAGCCACUACGCGAGUAGGAGCGAAUCUUCAAAGCCGGUCUCAGUUCGGAUCGCAGUCUGCAACUCGGCCCCGUGAAGCUGGAAUCGCUAGUAAUCG
Molecule: ribosomal RNA, 424 nt
Filed under: uncultured bacterium
Lineage: Bacteria
Description: bacterial SSU rRNA
Rfam family: Bacterial small subunit ribosomal RNA
Source: RNAcentral